GCAGCAGGCGCGAAAACUUCACAAUGUGCGAAAGCACGAUGAGGGAAUCCCAAGUGCUUGCACGUAAGUGUAAGCUGUUUCUUUGUUUAAAACGCAUAGAGAGUAAGGGCUGGGUAGGACGGGUGCCAGCCGCCGCGGUAAUACCUGCAGCUCAAGUGGUGGCCGCUAUUAUUGGGCCUAAAACGUCCGUAGCCGGUUUAUUAAAUGCCUGGGUAAAUCGUGUAGCUUAACUAUACGAAUUCCGGGUAGACUGAUAAACUUGAGAUCGGGAGAAGUUAGAGGUACUCCUGGGGUAGAGGUGAAAUUCUGUAAUCCUAGGGGGACCACCAGUGGCGAAGGCGUCUGACUAGAACGGGUCUGACGGUGAGGGACGAAGCCCUGGGGCGCAAACCGGAUUAGAUACCCGGGUAGUCCAGGGUGUAAACGCUGCUUGCUUGAUGUUAGUCGGGCUCCGAGCCCGAUUAGUGUCGGAGAGAAGUUGUUAAGCAAGCUGCCUGGGA
This 500-nucleotide ribosomal RNA is filed under the name uncultured archaeon. Its description in RNAcentral is "bacterial SSU rRNA". It matches the Rfam family "Archaeal small subunit ribosomal RNA", at positions 332 to 833 of the family's 1478-position model. The record is from RNAcentral.